RNAcentral lists this ribosomal RNA (822 nucleotides) under Triticum aestivum (bread wheat). Its description in RNAcentral is "partial small subunit ribosomal RNA". Lineage: Eukaryota; Viridiplantae; Streptophyta; Magnoliopsida; Poales; Poaceae. The record is from RNAcentral.
AUGGCAGACCACCUUCAAGUUCAAGAGCAACAAAAACUACUGAAUCUACCACCAGGGUUCAGGUUUCAACCGACGGACAUGGAGAUCAUCACCUUCUACCUGGUCCCCAAGGUGUUGAAGAAAGUCUUCAACACCAUGGUGGUCGGGGAGGUGGACUUGAACAAAUGUGAGCCAUGGGAUCUCCUAAAGAAGGUAAGCAUGGGUGAUAAGGGGCGAUACUUCUUCUCCCAGAAGGAUCUCAAGUACUCCACCGGGAUACGGACCAACCGGGCCACGAAGGCCGGCUAUUGGAAGGCCACAGGAAAGGACAAGGAGAUAGUCCACCCACCGACCAUGAGUAUCAUCGGCAUGAAGAAGACGCUCGUCUUCUACAAGGGAAGGGCCCCCAAGGGGGAGAAGACAAACUGGAUCAUGCACGAGUACAGACUCGAGAGCGGCAAGCAACCCACACCCAACUUGCCCACUGACAUCGUCAAAGCCACCACCAUUAACGCAUCUUCCAAGGGGGAGUAUGUGAUUUGUAGAAUCUUCCUUAAGAGCAUUGGACUGAAGAAGGUGAUGAUGCCAUCAUAUGACAUGUCCAUUCCCGUGUCCAUGGGGGGAGAGCAACAACAGGGCUUCCUCGAAUCCACUACAUUGGAUCCUCUCAUGGACUACGACAUGUUAUCAUCACUGGCAUCGUCGCCUCUGUUGCCUACAACUUCUUUGGACCAGCCGCAUACCUUUGAGGCCGGAUCAUUUGUGAUGGGCAGUGCGGUGCUUCCAGUGAUGAACAACCACUACUUUGGGAACCACUACCAACAAAUGAUGGCCUUGCCAUAG